GGGUACGACCAUACUUGGCCGAGUGCACCACAUCCCGUCCGAUUUGUGAAGUUAAGCGGCCACAGGCCUCGUUAGUACGGCGAUCA
Molecule: ribosomal RNA, 86 nt
Organism: Trypanosoma cruzi strain CL Brener
Lineage: Eukaryota; Euglenozoa; Kinetoplastea; Trypanosomatida; Trypanosomatidae
Source: Rfam